This 458-nucleotide ribosomal RNA is filed under the name uncultured bacterium. RNAcentral's name for it is "partial 16S ribosomal RNA". It matches the Rfam family "Bacterial small subunit ribosomal RNA", at positions 338 to 795 of the family's 1533-position model. The record is from RNAcentral.
CCUACGGGAGGCAGCAGUGAGGAAUAUUGGUCAAUGGGCGAGAGCCUGAACCAGCCAAGUCGCGUGAGGGAGUACUGCCCUAUGGGUUGUAAACCUCUUUUGUCGGGGAGAAAAAGCCGGAGGUGUCAGGCUGUGCGAGUACCCGAAGAAAAAGAAUCGGCGAACUCCGUGCCAGCACCCGCGGUAAUAGGGAGGAUGCGGGCGUUAUCCGGAUUUAUUGGGUUUAAAGGGUGCGCAGGCGGAUUUUUAAGUUAGCGGUAAAUUCGAGGGGCUCAACCCCAUCCAGCCGUUGAAACUGGGGAGCUUGAGUGUGCGAGAGGGAUGCAGAAUGCGUGGUGUAGCGGUGAAAUGCAUAGAGAUCACGCAGAACCCCGAUUGCGAAGGCAGCAUACCGGUGCACAACUGACGCUCAGGCACGAAAGCGUGGGUAUCGAACAGGAUUAGAUACCCGAGUAGUC